This 399-nucleotide ribosomal RNA is filed under the name Streptomyces rubrogriseus. Its description in RNAcentral is "bacterial SSU rRNA". It matches the Rfam family "Bacterial small subunit ribosomal RNA", at positions 1 to 401 of the family's 1533-position model. Lineage: Bacteria; Bacillati; Actinomycetota; Actinomycetes; Kitasatosporales; Streptomycetaceae. The record is from RNAcentral.
CAUUCACGGAGAGUUUGAUCCUGGCUCAGGACGAACGCUGGCGGCGUGCUUAACACAUGCAAGUCGAACGAUGAACCACUUCGGUGGGGAUUAGUGGCGAACGGGUGAGUAACACGUGGGCAAUCUGCCCUGCACUCUGGGACAAGCCCUGGAAACGGGGUCUAAUACCGGAUACUGACCCUCGCAGGCAUCUGCGAGGUUCGAAAGCUCCGGCGGUGCAGGAUGAGCCCGCGGCCUAUCAGCUUGUUGGUGAGGUAAUGGCUCACCAAGGCGACGACGGGUAGCCGGCCUGAGAGGGCGACCGGCCACACUGGGACUGAGACACGGCCCAGACUCCUACGGGAGGCAGCAGUGGGGAAUAUUGCACAAUGGGCGAAAGCCUGAUGCAGCGACGCCGCG